GCUCUUUUCGGGAGUGAGCGUGCGCUAGUUUCUCUUUCGUCUAGGUUUUGUAAGGAACGGUUUGUGAGUAGUGGUCGCCGAAUGGAACUCUCAGCUACAGAUCUACCUUCCUCCCGAGCUGAAGAGCUUUAGUCCUAAGGGUUUAACCCUUUCCCAUUUACCUUCUGACUCCAAUUUUGCAGGGCAUGUUGAGUCCGCUGCAUCUAGAGCCCCAACGGGUAGGAGUGUUGGUUGGUAAGCUGGGCAUCCGUGUAUCUGAGUUUCUUAGCAAUAAAGUGAAAUGCAAUCUUA
Molecule: long non-coding RNA, 291 nt
Filed under: Mus pahari (shrew mouse)
Lineage: Eukaryota; Metazoa; Chordata; Mammalia; Rodentia; Muridae
Description: lncRNA (MGP_PahariEiJ_G0003085.1)
Source: RNAcentral